This 955-nucleotide ribosomal RNA is filed under the name Toxocara cati (cat roundworm). Its description in RNAcentral is "large ribosomal RNA subunit". Lineage: Eukaryota; Metazoa; Nematoda; Chromadorea; Rhabditida; Toxocaridae. The record is from RNAcentral.
UAAUCUUUUUUUUUGUAUUUAUUGGUAUUGCAUAUCAUUUUUGGAUGUUGACAUUAUUAUGUAGAAUAGAAAGGUGAGGUAGAGGCUGUUUGUUUUUAUUGUUGCACAAUAAAAAUUAGGGCUGUUUGGUGUUGAAAUGUCGUCUUGUCUUUUAUCUGUGUUAUGGGUACUUAUUAGAAAAUUGUAAGAUUUGUUGUAUUGUUUGGAGUUUUAGAUUUUGUAGUGUUCUUUGUUUUAUGUUUUAUAACGUUUUCUUUUUGUAGUUUUGUUGUUUUUUUUAUUAUUAAUUUAUUAAUAAUUUUAUAGUUUAGAAUUUAGUAAUUUUUUAAACUUUGUUUUUUGUUGGAAUUUUUUUUUGUAAACUUGAGUUUUGAUCAAAUGUUUUUUAAAGACUUAGGUCUCUUUGUGUGGCUGGCCUCUGCUCUAUGUUUUAGAUAAAUGGCAGUCUUAGCGUGAGGACAUUAAGGUAGCAAAAUAAUUUGUGCUUUUAAUGGGCUCUAGUAUGAAUGGGGUUAGUGGUUGAUUAUUUUCUUAUGUUUUUAUGAAUUAAUUUUUUGUUUAAGAAAUAACAUUUGUAAUUGUACAAAGAUAAGUCUUCGGAAGUUUUUUUCUUGAUUUUUUUGAAAUUUUUUUGGGAUGUUUUCUAGGGUAGGAUUUUUGGUAAUUUUUUUUACUAAUUUUAAAAUAUAAAACUACUUCGGAGUUAACAGAAAUUCAUGUUUUUACCAGUUCUUAUGGUAGUAAUAAGUUUUACAUCGAUGUUGUAUUUUAGUUAUUCAGGAUAGGAGAUGGUUUGGAUUUUAAGACUGUUCUUCUUUUAAUAAACUAAACGUGAUAUUAGUUUAAUUCAUCGUGAGAUAGAAUUGUUUAUCUUGUUAAUUUCUUUUUUUAGAGGCAGGCAGUACGAAAGGAAAUUUGUUAGAGUUUUUAACUUUGUUAGAAGGUUUAUCUUCUA